Molecule: non-coding RNA, 394 nt
Organism: Lonchura striata (white-rumped munia)
Lineage: Eukaryota; Metazoa; Chordata; Aves; Passeriformes; Estrildidae
Source: RefSeq, a predicted model, not a curated record
AGGAGGAGGAGGAUCUGCUCCCUGAGCUGAGGAUUCCCUUCACCGUGGACAGAGAUUUCCUGCUGGAUCUGCGGCGGGAGCUGGCGGGGCGGGCGCGCUGCAGGCGCAGGACGAGCCUGCAGGAGCACCGGGCCCGGCUGCAGGAGCUGUGCGAGCGCCGGGCUCUGCUGCUGGGCCCGGGGCAGGACGGAGCCGCCACACCCCGCUGUCCCCAGGGCAGCCCCGGGCCACCACUGUCACCUCUGCCGGCAGCCAGCGGGUCCCAGCCAGCUCCCGGGGCCAUCCAGCCCCCAGGCAAGGCUCUGGAGAAGGAGAGUCGUGCCAAAGGAGCGGGGAAUGGGCAGUUAUCCCAAAUACCCUGCAGCAGCAGCAGGCAAUAAAGGCUUUAUUCCCA